GUGCCAGCCGCCGCGGUAAUACGUAGGGGGCAAGCGUUAUCCGGAAUCAUUGGGCGUAAAGGGUGCGUAGGUGGUCAAUAAAGUCAGAGGUGAAAGGCUAGGGCUCAACCGUAGUAAGCCUUUGAAACUUAUUGACUUGAGUGCAGGAGAGGAGAGUGGAAUUCCUAGUGUAGCGGUGAAAUGCGUAGAUAUUAGGAGGAACACCAGUGGCGAAGGCGACUACCUGGACGAAAACUGACGCUGAGGCACGAAAGCUAGGGGAGCAAACAGGAUUAGAUACCCUGGUAGUCCUAGCCGUAAACGAUGGGUACUAGGUGUAGGAGGUUUCGAUACCUUCUGUGCCGCAGUUAACGCAAUAAGUACCCCGCCUGGGGAGUACGUGCGCAAGCAUGAAACUCAAAGGAAUUGACGGGGGCCCGCACAAGCGGUGGAGCGUGUGAUUUAAUUCGAAGCAACGCGAAGAACCUUACCAGGUCUUGACAUCCCUUGACAGCCUCAGAGAUGAGGCUUCUCUUCGGAGCAAGGAGACAGGUGGUGCAUGGUUGUCGUCAGCUCGUGUCGUGAGAUGUUGGGUUAAGUCCCGCAACGAGCGCAACCCUUGCCUUUAGUUGCCAUCAUUCAGUUGGGCACUCUAGAGGGACUGCCGGUGACAAACCGGAGGAAGGUGGGGAUGACGUCAAAUCAUCAUGCCCCUUAUGUCCUGGGCUACACACGUGCUACAAUGGUCUGUACAGAGGGAAGCGAAGCAGCGAUGUGAAGCGAAUCCCAGAAAACAGAUCUCAGUUCGGAUUGUAGGCUGCAACUCGCCUACAUGAAGCUGGAAUCGCUAGUAAUCGCAGGUCAGCAUACUGCGGUGAAUACGUUCCCGGGCCUUGUACACACCGCCCGUCACACCACGAAAGUUUGCAACACCCGAAGCCGGUGGCCUUACCCGCAAGGGAGGGAGCCGUCGAAGUGGGGCAGAUGAUUGGGGUGAAGUCGUAACAAGGUAACC
This 994-nucleotide ribosomal RNA is filed under the name uncultured Bacillota bacterium. RNAcentral's name for it is "bacterial SSU rRNA". It matches the Rfam family "Bacterial small subunit ribosomal RNA", at positions 505 to 1501 of the family's 1533-position model. The record is from RNAcentral. Lineage: Bacteria; Bacillati; Bacillota.